RNAcentral lists this small RNA (28 nucleotides) under Bombyx mori (domestic silkworm). RNAcentral's name for it is "ovarian small RNA-6075". The record is from RNAcentral. Lineage: Eukaryota; Metazoa; Arthropoda; Insecta; Lepidoptera; Bombycidae.
UACCUAUGUUUGAUCGACGGUUGGAAUC